AUUGAACGCUGGCGGCAUGCUUUACACAUGCAAGUCGAACGGUAACAGGCCGCAAGGUGCUGACGAGUGGCGAACGGGUGAGUAAUGCAUCGGAACGUGCCCAGUCGUGGGGGAUAACUACUCGAAAGAGUAGCUAAUACCGCAUACGAUCUAUGGAUGAAAGCGGGGGACCGUAAGGCCUCGCGCGAUUGGAGCGGCCGAUGUCAGAUUAGGUAGUUGGUGGGGUAAAGGCUCACCAAGCCAACGAUCUGUAGCUGGUCUGAGAGGACGACCAGCCACACUGGGACUGAGACACGGCCCAGACUCCUACGGGAGGCAGCAGUGGGGAAUUUUGGACAAUGGGCGCAAGCCUGAUCCAGCAAUGCCGCGUGCAGGAAGAAGGCCUUCGGGUUGUAAACUGCUUUUGUACGGAACGAAACGGCUCUGGUUAAUACCCGGGGCUAAUGACGGUACCGUAAGAAUAAGCACCGGCUAACUCCGUG
Molecule: ribosomal RNA, 482 nt
Filed under: uncultured bacterium
Lineage: Bacteria
Description: partial 16S ribosomal RNA
Rfam family: Bacterial small subunit ribosomal RNA
Source: RNAcentral